UUCAUGCCAGCUGCCUCUCCAGGGCGCCCUUGGACUUCCUGCCGCUUGCCAGCGCUGCUGAUCUCGGGAAUCCCGUACAGCGCGGCCGAGGGCAGAGAUUUAUUCGCAUCCUUAGAAGUUUUACUCCUUUUCGCUUUGGAUUUGCUGGUCUCUUUGUGUGGGUUCCCCUGGGGAGCGGAGGGCUGCACGGAAGCGAAUUUGAGGCCUUCGGCUAAGACGGCGGCUGCACCCGUCCCAUUGGAGGCCGGACCUCCACAGUCCUUGGAAUUGCCGCUGCCAGUGCUGUUGGUGGAAUUAUUCAUCUCAAAUUUCUGUCUGUCCUUCUCCAAAUCGGCGUCCAAAUCAAUGAUUAGAUUUCCAACCCCGAUUUCCCAAUCAUCGCCACUGUCAUAAGCAUCAACUGUAUUUGGAUCCACACCUUUUCCUCCCGUGGGAAUGUUCACUGACAUCCUGAAGACGAGCUCUCUAGAAUAAAAACCCGAUGAACUUUCCUUGGGAGAUGAGGGGACAUUCGUUUAGCUCCGCUGGGCUUUCUCUUAAAGAAAAAAAAAAAAUCUUCCAAUCUUCCUCUUCUUUUUCUGCCCCACGGCACGGACGGACGGCCCAGGGGUUUUACACCCUACAGCCCAGGUCCACCAUUCCCUGUGGAGGGAAAAGUCGGAUAUUUCUUGUCUGGGUGUUGCCAGAAUAGAAAAGGGUUAAUACUGGGGAGGGGUCAGUAAGGGGUACAGGAGAGGAGAGAGAGUACGGUGCCUUAGGUACUAUCUCCAUAGUCCAGUAUCAAGGUUAAAAGAAAAUAAACAAACCCCCAAAACAUACCCAGGACAGUAAGCAUCUUACAGUAGUUAAAACGAAAAUCCUUUUACCAACAACACAAGGAUAAUCAGUUCUUAAAAAGCAUUAAAAAUCUUUAGGGAUCUGAUUCAAGCCCAGAAAGGUUUCUGUGUUUUGUUUUGUUUUGUUUAAGUUUAGGGUUUCUGCCUGGCACAUGGGUUACCUCAACCCCAGGAACACAGCAUGAACACUGAGACCAGAGAAACACAGCACCAAGCAUGUCCCAGCACUUGCAGUUUGAAAGGCUAGACUCGGGAAGUUCUCUGUCACUGGAUUUCAAGACCAUGUUACUAAAUUUUCCUUAUUUCUAUUGGAUUACCUCUUCUUGCAAAUUGUCUGGACAAUGUAGGUUUUGUUCCCAUGAAGGAACAGGAAAAAAUAAGCCGUAAUGUCUCCCACACAUACACAUUUACCUCUGUCUCUCUCUUCCAUAGCAUCUACACAAUUCUUUUAGAAAUAUAAAUGUACAAUGCUUUAAGAGCAUUUCUCUCAAUAAAAAAGACGGUGUGAUAUGAAAGGUUAAACAUCUGCCUUGGGAGGGAAAAAGAAAACUCCAUCUAAACAAUUCCCCCACACCCCUAGGUCAGAGAGUUGCUCAGUCUGUUAAAUACGGUGCUCCUGACUGUACAGGACACUGAUGAAGACAUACACUUAAGUGAUCUGCACCAAGGUGGCCUCACUGAAGGCAAAUGAGUGUGUGUUUGACAAAGAGCGGUUAAAACAGUUUUUUUUUUUUAAAGGAUCAGCCCCUUUUAACAGUUGCUUGUCAAGAAAAACAAUACACACACACACACACACACACACACACACACACACAAAUGCACACACAGAGAGACAUUGCUUACCUUUAAUCCUUUAUCAGUUUUUACUUAGGCCAGCAAAAUCAAAAGGCAUUUCCCACUCCACUCAGCAAACAAGCUUGUGCCUCAUUUUACUUAAACACCAAAUGAUCAAGAAGGAAGAGGCCAAACUAACACAUCUCAGCCAAAUAAUCACAAAAUAACGCGAUUGCAGCUCCCCACCCUCCGGGCAAAGGCUCCUUGUCUCCUCAAAAAAAGUGUCGCUAUACAGCUGGAUGAUAAUGUUUCACAUUCACAACACAAACACCAAAGAUCUUUUUUCCUCUUAACAAGCAUCGAGAAUAAGAGGAUGGAUGGGAAGAGAGAGAGAGAGAGAAGGAGAGGGGGGGAAGAGGAAGAUUGAGAGGAGGGGAGAAAGAAAGAGAGAAAUAUUAGUGAAAAAAGUUUUCCCAACUUCUCAUUCCGCCUUCAGUUCCAGACUUCAGAGUCACCGUGAUCAGUAAGUAAUGAUCCCAUGUAGCAAAGCUACAGGCGUCCGCUAGUACCAGGACGGAACGUGCUAACAUCGGGGGAAAUUAGUGAAAGGGAAGAAAGAAUAAGGAGAAAGGACUGAAAAUCUGGGCUGGAUUCCGCCUGUUAGUCUGGAAGUGGCAUUUUUUCCGCCCGUCUUGACAGAUUUGAUUUCUCCAACUAACUUAGAGACGAAGAGGGGGCAGGAGGAUGAGGAGGGGGCAGGAGAAGGAGUGAGGAAGGGCGGAUUGAAGCAGGCCGAGGAGAAGAAAGUGCAAGCCUUUCACAUCACGUGAGGAUCAAGGGCUCAAUUGGUUGUCGUGAGAACAAAAAUGGUGACAAGCGUAUCAAGAAAAUACUGAUCUGGUCUUUAAAAAAAAAAAAAAGCUGAAGGUCCCCCCCUCCCCCCCCACACAGUGGGCGAAGCUACAAGUUAUGAAUGUGAAAUAUUUCUCAGACCCAGGAUCUCGGAAGUUCUCUAGGAGUGAAAUGCAAUGACUGCAGGAGCAAAGCAGAUGUCUGAAAGAAACACCUUAUAAAGCCUUUCUCAACUCAUCCCCAAUUUUCUGGCUUCCUCAAGGGGCCAGGGAUGGCUGGGGGAGGGGAGGGCAUCUCCAAGCUCCCGGGAUUUUAAGGACGCCUUCAUGUAUUGAACAAAGAAAAAACAAAACAAAACAAAACAUUUUGCUAGCUUCCAAACUGGGUCCUAUGAUAAACACACCAUUGUUACUAUUUGCGGGUUUGUUUGGGUUGGGUGGGGCUCCCCCCACCACACACUGCUUCUCUUAAAUGGUGUUUUUGCUACUUGCCUUUUUAAAAAAAAAUAAGGUGGAAAAUGGUAGCUACAACCAUUACAUGUAAUGGAUGAAUUUCCCCUGGUUUAAUAUUGAAUCACUGGGCACACGAGGACGUGACAGGAGAGAAAAUCGGCUGGCUCGGCCGAGGCCCCCAUGUCCCUGGCUCAGUUUGGGCGGUGGCGGGGGGGGUCUGCUCGGCUCCGAGGGGAAACUGAGGCGGGCAGGGAAGGUGCGCUGGAGUCGACAGUGGGACCGGGGCAUGUACCGUGUCACUUUUCGUCUCCUUUGGGAUACAGCCCAAAAGGUAAUUUACCCUAACUUAGCCCGAGUGCCCAGUCAAGCUUAAUUUGUGUGAAGAAGUUACAAAUGCCUCACCCUCCACUGAAUCAAGCUCACCCUUCGUGGGCUGUUCUAAAUGCCAAGCCGAGCCCUGUAAACCAGUUCCUCAUUUCAAUGCAUGAAACUCGCACAUUCCCUUGCAUGAAGUCCCCGCUAAGUGCUAUAUAGCGACACCCCACGCAGCCGUACUUACGGUCUGUAUGGGAUCGAGUUGACCUUUUCCUCCUAACUGCAUUGAAUGUGUUUGGUGGCAGCCGCUUUAUUUUGGAAAUUAUAAAUUUCUUCAAUUUUUUUUAUUAAAGAUGGACCAUCAAAUGUCA
Long non-coding RNA from Jaculus jaculus (lesser Egyptian jerboa), 3600 nucleotides. RefSeq lists it as uncharacterized. The transcript has 2 exons. The record is from RefSeq and is a predicted model, not a curated record. NCBI's taxonomy places the organism in Eukaryota, Metazoa, Chordata, Mammalia, Rodentia, Dipodidae.